AAAGAUCACAUGUCUCAGCUGACUUGCUGAUUCUUCCCUGCUGAAAUGGACCUUUCUGCCAAGGUCAAAAAGAAAAACUGACAGUGUCGGAUGACUAACCCACCACCUCAUGCAGAGCAUUUGGCAGCUUGCACCUUUUUGAAGAGCAUAGCACAUUUUUAAAAUUCCUCCAAAUAAUGAUGAUGAUAAUAAUAAAGGAGAUAUUUGGCAAGAGAGAGAAAAACUGUUUUUCAUACUAUCUUUAUGGAGCUUACAAAAAUGGGAUCAAUGUUAGCAGCAAGGACUUAGGAUAACCUGUCAAUGUACAUUGAUUCCCAAGAGCCUGAGCCACACUUCAGUUGCCUGUCUUGGCCAAACAAAUGUGUCUUAUGGGCCUAAAUUGAAGGGCUAAUUUCUGGUCUAUUGGAAAGGAUCAAACAACUGAGAAGAAAGCCCUUCAGCAACCUCUUAGCCUCUUCGUUCUGGAGAAAUGUCUGGAGAGCCAUAUACUGGUUUUUGUUUAUUCAGUAGCUAGACAUGCCUCUUCCAAGUAAUGAUGUCCAAAGAACUUAAUGUCAUUUUAUAAUUUUAUGAUCUUGAGGUGACCUGGGCAUUGGGUGCUUAUUCAGAUGCACUCCAAACAAAGUGGGAAGGGUAAUGCUGAGACAAAGGAGAUCAUUCCUUCAUGUUAUUUUAAAGGCAUAGACAAAUAGCCCACACACAAAAAAAUCCAGUUUCAGGUUAGCAAAAUUAAGAUCUCCCUUUUGAACAGAGAAAGUCACUGAAGUUUCAAGGCCAAUUCUAUUUAUUAUCAUGGGGAAUAAACUGAAAUUUGUGCUUGCCUUGCUUACAAAUUCAUGCCGUGUUUUUAUUUAAAAAAAAUUUUUAACAGCUUUAUUGAGAUAUAAUUCACAUGCCAACAAUUCACCCAUUUGAGGUAUAUAACUCAGCUUUUGGUAUGUUACAUUAUUAUUUUUUUAAUAAUAGUAAAACAUAUAUACAUAAAAUUGGCCAUUUUAAUUAUAUUUAAUGUGCAAUUCAGUGGCAUUAGUUACAAUUUUGUAAAGCCACCACAUUUCCAAAAAUAUUUCAUAAUCUCAAAUACAAAUUCUGUGCUCAAUAAACAGUAACUCCACCUCAAAGGAUUUUUGAAUAUGCUUUUUUUCAAAGAAAAAAAAAGUGUAGUUGACAUGCAAUGUUAUAUUAAUUUAAAUGAACAGCAUGUUGAAUUGCCAGUUCUGUACAUUAUACCAUGCUUACCACAAUAAAUGCAGUUAUCAUUUGUCACCAUAUAAUAUUAUUACAAACAAACAAAAAGCAGAAACAUACUCAUAAAUACAGAGAAAAACUGGUGGUUUCUAGAGGGUGGGGUUGGGCCAUAGGUGAAAUAGAUGGAGAUAAAAAUAUAAGAUAAGUAAGUCAUAGGGAUGAAAAGUAUAGCAUAGGGAAUAUAAUCAAUAAUAUUGUAAUAAUGUUGCAUGUCAUGUCUUUAAGUUCAAUAUUUCAAACUGAAAUGUUUAUUUAAGAGUUAAAAAUUCUUACACGUUAAAUUAAAAUAAUUUAGAAACAACUAAACCCUAAAAUAAAAAAGUGUUUGUAUCAUAUUCUAUGAGAAUAAGAAGGAUGAAGAUGUGAGAGAAAGAUGGUUUCCCUAACCUCAAGUGUAAUCAGAAGCAAUAAAACAUCUGAACAGGGACACUUGGGUGGCUCUUGAUUUCAUCUCAGAUCAUGAUCCUAGGUUGUGGGAUUGAGUUCCAGUUUGAGUUCCAUACUAAGCAUGGAGCCUGCUUGAAAUUCUCUCUCGAAUGCACACAUACUCUCUCUCCUUCUGCCCCCUUACCCUGCUCACAUGUGCUCUCUCUAACACAAACAAACAAAAAACAAAACAAAAAAUCCCAUAUCUGAACAGUCAUAGGAUGCCAGUUCUUAUGAUACAAGCAAGACAGCAAGAAAGAAGUAUCAAGUACUUGAAUACAGAUAUUCUAUACAUUAUAAUUUUAAAGUUUUUAGACUCUUUUGAGCUUCUUGAAAUUUAUGUCUUUCACUAAAUUUGGGAAAUUUUAGGCCAUUAUUUUUUUCCAGCAUUUUGCACCAUUCCCUCUCCCUCCUUUCCUUCUAUGACUAUACUUACAUUAACUGCAUAUAUUUUAGAUCCUCUAAUUUUGUCACUGAGACUUUGUUAACUUUUCUUCCAUCUUUGUGCUCUUAGUUCUUCAGAUUGGUUAAUUUCUAGAGCUCAAUGUUUAAGUUUGCUAAAUCUUUGUUUUGUCAUCAUCACUCUCUUGUUAUGACUAUCUAGUAAAUUUUUCUUUUUGGAUGUUCAAUUUAUUUUAGAUUUAGGAUUUCCAUUUGAUUCUUAAUGAAUCUCUAAUGAACUUCAUUCAUUACAAGUAUUAUUUCCUUUAUGUCCUAGAGCAGAGUUUUAAAAUCCCUUUCUGCUAAUUACAACAUCUGGGUCAUCUUGGGUCAGUCUCCAUUGAAACUCUUGAGUUUCUUCAGCUGUCUAAUUUUGGAUCCUAUUAUGGAAAUUGUAAUUUAUUUGUUGUAGGGUUUCUCAUUUAUAGCAUGUUUCUCUGAAAAUACUGAUUUUUUAUUUUAGCAGAUUAUUAACCUGACUGUCCUGAAACUUCACUAUCCAGAAUGGUUCUUUUCUUCCAAGUGCACACUCCCCUACACCUAUGCCUCCUUUUGGUAGUGACUGCAAGGAGUUGUUUUUUUAUAUUUGAUAAGCAUUUUUCCCUACCCCCAGAAACUUUUGGAUGGAUUUGGCAAGUUUGAUGAUAGUGCAGGGUGAAUAAACAAUGUGGUUGGUUGCUCAGUUCAUAAAACUCUUAGUAAAUGCCCCAAAGCAAGAAAUAUGGAAAGAAUUAAAGUAGCACUUUGGAGGCCUCAAUUGAAAUUUCUUUCCUGUGUGUCAUAUGUGGUUAAGACAGCUGCAGAAAGCAUAAAAGGAAAGGACCCUUUGUGCCCUUGUCAGUGUGGGGCUCAGAUGAGGUUAGGUUGUUUUACUGUUAAUACUUGUAAUGGUAUUUGUGGAGGGAAAUUAAAAGUGAAAUUUCCUUUAGCUGAUUUCUCAGAUUGCUAAAGUAAUAGGUGAAGGGUCAAGAAGAGGGUUGCAUACACCUCAGAAGAAUCUGCUUUUCUAGAGAAAAAAAAGCUAGGAUCUAGGAGACAUUUUUCUUUCUCUGGGAGCACAUCAGUUUUAAAAAAUUGAGAUGUAAUUGACAUAUAAAAUUGUAUUCAUUGCAGGUGUGUAACAUAUUGAUUCGAUGUACAUGUAUAUUACAAAAUGAUUACCAAAUUCAGUUUAGUUAACAUCUAUUAACUCCGUAGUCACAAUUUUUGUCUUGUGAUGAGAACUUUCAAGAUCCACUCUCUUAGGAACUUUCAAAUAUACAAUACAGUAUUAUUAGCUAUAUAGUCACCAAACUGUAUUUUAUAUCCUCAGCAGUUAUUUAUGUUAUAACAGAAGGUUUGUACCUUUUGACACCUUCACCCAUUUUACCCACAGUCCCACCCUGUGCCUUUGGAAACCACCAAUUUGUUCUUUGUAUCUAUGACUUCAUUUUCUUAAAUAUUACAAAUUUUAGUGAGAUCAUAUAGUAUUUGUCUUUCUCCAUCUGAUUUAUUUCAUUUAGCACAAUGCCCUCAAGAUCCAUUCGUAUUGUUGCAAAUGACAAGAUUUCUUUCUUUUUUAUGGCUUAAUUGUAUAAUCACAGACCUUUUCUAUAUCCAUCCAUAUGUUUGGCACAGGUUGUUUUUAUGUCUUGACUAUCAUAAAUAAUGCUACAAUGAAAAUGGGGUACAGAUAUCUUUUUGAGAGACAGUGAUUUCAUUUUCUUUGGAUAAAUACACAGAAAUGAAAUUGCUGGAUCAUAUGAUAGUUUUAUUUUUAACUAGUUGAGGAACUUCCACAUUGUUUUUCAUAUGGCUACACCAAUUUACAUUAUUACCAACAGUGCACAAGGAUUCUCUUUUCUACACCAACAAUCUUCACCAACACUAGUUAUUUCUUGUAUUUUAAGCCAUUCUAAUAGGUUUGAGGUGAUAUUGUGAUUUUGAUUUGUAUUUCUGUGAUGAUUAGUGAGGUUGAGCACCUUUAUAUAUAUACAUUUUGUCAAUUUACAUGUCUUUUUGUAAAAAUGUCUAUUCAGAUACUCUGCCUAUUUUAAUUCAUUUUUUUUAACGUUUAUUUAUUUUUGGGACAGAGAGAGACAGAGCAUGAACGUGGGAGGGGCAGAGAGAGAGGGAGACACACAGAAUCGGAAACAGGCUCCAGGCUCUGAGCCAUCAGCCCAGAGCCUGACGCGGGGCUCGAACUCACGGACCACGAGAUCGUGACCUGGCUGAAGUCGGACGCUUAACCGACUGCGCCACCCAGGCGCCCCUAAUUCAUUUUUUUAAGUAGGCUUCAUGCCCAACACGUUGCUGUUUUAUUGAUAGCUUGUUUUCUAUUGGAUUGCAUGAGUUCAUUACAUAUUUUGAAUAUUACCCCCUUAUCAGAUAUAUGAUUUGCAUAUAUGUUCUCCCAUUCUAUAUGUUGCCUCUUUAUUUUUUUAAAGUAUAAUCAACAUAUAGUGCCAUAUUAGUUUCAGAUAUACAAUUUAAUGAUUUAACAAUUCUAUACAUUUAUCAUCGCUCAUCAGGAUAAGUGUAUUCUUAAUUCCUUUCACCAAUUUCACCCCUGCUCUUACUUACCUCGCCUCUGGUGACAACCAGUUUGUCCUAUGUACUUAAGAGUCUUGUUUUUUGUUUGUCUCUUUUUAUUUUGUUUCUUCCCUUGUUUUGUUUCUUAAACUUCACAUAUGAGUGAAAUCAUAUGGUAUUUGUCUUUCUAUAAGUGACUUAUUUUAGUUAGCAUUACACCCUCUAGAUCCAUCCAUUUUGUUUCAAAUGGCAAGAUUUCAUUCUAUUUUAUAGAUGAGUAAUAGUCCACUGUGAGUGUGUGUGUGUGUGUGUGUGUGAGUGUAUCACAUCUUUAUUCAUUCAUCUAUAGAUAAACAUUGGGUUGCUUCCUUAUCUUGGAUAUUGUAAAAUAUGCUGCAAUAAAUAGAGGUGUGCAAAUAUCUUUUCAAAUUAGUGUUUUGGUUUUCUUUGGGUAAAUACCCACUAGCGGAAUUGCUGGAUCAUAUGGUUAAUUCUAUUUUUAAUUUUUUGAAUAGCCUCCAUCCUAAUUUCCACAGUGACUGCACCAGUUUGAAUUGCUACCAAUAGUGCACAGGGGCUUCCUUUUCUCCACGUCCUUGCCAUCACUUAUUAUUUCCUGUGGUUUUCAUUUUAGCCAUUCUGACAGGUGUGAGGUACUAUCUCAUUGUCGUUUUGCUUUUCACUCUCUGGAGAUUGGGGAUGUUGAGAAUUUUUUCAUGUUUCUGUUGGCCAUCUGUAGAUCUUCUUUGGAAAAAUGUCUAUUCAGGCCCUCUGUCCUUUUUUAAUUGAAUUAUUAUUAUUAUUAUUAAUUAUUAUUAUUUUGGUGGUGACUUGUAUAAGUUAUUUAUGUAUUUUGGAUAUUAACCCCUUAUCAAAUAUAUUAUUUUCAAAUAUCUUCUCCCAUUCAAUAGGUUGCCUUUUUAUUUUAUGGGUGGUUUUCUUUGUUGUGCAAAAGCCUUUGACUUUCAUAUAGUCCUAAUAGUUUAAUUUUGCUUUUGUUUCCAUUGCUUGAGUAUACAUAACUAGAAUAAUGUUUAUGCAACCAAGUACUGCCUAUGUUUUAUUCUAGAAAUUUUAUGGUUUCAGGUUUCACAUUUAGCCCUUUAGUCCAUUUUGAACUUAUUUAUUUUUGUGUAUGUUGUAAGAAAGUCCAGUUUCAUUCUUUUGAAUGUAGCUAGUUUUUCCCAUAGCAUUUUUUAAGGAGACUGUCUUUUUCCCAUUGCACAUUCUUGCCUCCUUUGUCAUAGAAAAUUCACCAUAAAAGGUUGGGUUUAUGGGACGCCUGGGUGGCCCAGUUGGUUAAGCGUCUGACUCAAUCUCAGCUCAGGUCAUGAUCUCACAGCUCAUGAGUUUGAGUCCUGCAUUGGGCUUUGCUCUGAGAGUGCAGAGCCUGCUUGGGAUUCUCUCUCUCCCCCUCUCUUUCUGCCCAUUCCUUGGCUAUUUGGAAUCUUUUGUGGUUCUAUGGAAGUUUUAGUAUUAUUAUUUCUAGUUCUGUGAAAAAUAUUGUUGGUAUUUUGACAGGAAUUGCAUUACAUCUGUAGAUUGCUUAGGUAGUAUGGACGUUUUAACAAUAUUAUUUUUUUUCUAAUCCAUGAGCAUGGAAUAGCCUUCCAUUUGUUUGUGUCAUCUUCAAUUUCUUUCACCAAUGUUUUACAGUUUUUGGAAUACUGGUCUUCCAUCUCCUUGGUUAAAAUUAUUCCUAGAAAUUUCAUUCAUUUUGAUCCAAUUGUAAAUGCGAUGGUUUUCUUAUUUUUUCUUCCUGCUACCUCAUUAGUAUAGUAAUGCAAUAGAUUUCUGUACAUUAAUUUUGUAUCCUGAAGCUUUAAUGAAUUUAUUUAUCAGUUCUAGUAGUUUUCCAGUGGAGUACUUAGGGUUUUCUAUUUAUAAUAUCAUGUCAUCUGCAAAUAGUGAAAGUUUUACUUGUUCUUUCCAAUUUGAAUGACUUUUAUUUCUGAUUGCUGUGGCUAGGACUCCAGUACUAUGUUGGUUAAAAGUAGUGAGAGUGGACAGCCUUGUCUCGUUUCUGAUCUUAGAGGAAAAGCUCUCAGGUUUUCACCAUUUAAUAUUAUAUUAGCUGUAAGUUUUUCAUAUAUUGCUUCUAUUAUGUUAAAGUAUAUUCCCUCUAAACCUACUUUGUUGAGAAUUUGUAUAAUGAAUAUAUGUUGCAGUUUAUCAAAUGCUUUUUCUGCAUCUAUUGAGAUGAUCAUAUCCUUUCUCUUGUUAAUGUGAUGUGUUUUGUAGAUUGAUUUCUAAGUAUUGAACCACACUUGCAUCCCUGAAAUAAACCUCACUUGAGUGUGGUGAAUAACUUUUUGAAUAUAUUGCUGCAUUUGAUUUGUUAAUACUUUGCUGAGAAUUUUUGCAUAUAAGUUCAUCAGAGAUAUUGGUCUAUAGUUAUAUAUUUUUUUGUAGCAUCUUUAAUUGGUUUUGUAUCAGGAUAAUGCUUGCUUCAUAAAGUGAAUUUGGAAACUUUCCUUCCUCUUCUAUUUUUUUGGAAUAGUUUAAGAAGAAUAGAUAUUAACUCUUUAAAUGUUUGGUAGAAUUCACCGGUGAAGCCAUCUGGUCCUGGACUUUUGUUUGUUGGUAGUUUUUUGAUUACUGAUUCAAUUUCUUUUUUUAAAAUUAUUUAUUUAUUUAUUUGAGAGAGACAGAGACAGUGCAAGUGGAGGAGGAGGAGAGAGAGAAGGAGACAGAGACUAUCUCAAGCAAGCUCUGCAUUGCCAGAGUGGAGCAUGAUGUGGGGCUAGAACCCACCAAACCAUGAAAUCAUGACCUAAGUUGAAACCAGGAAUUGGACACUUAACUGACUGAGCCAUCCAGGCACUCCGUCAUUAUUGAUUCAAUUUCAUUGUUAGUAAUUGGUCUGUUCAAAUUUUUUGUUUCUUCCUGACCCAGUUUUGGAAUGGUUGCCUUUUCAUUUUUUUGUUGGUUUCUCUGCUAUACACAUGCCUUUUAGUUUGAUGUAGUUCCACUCAUUUAUUUUUGCUUUUGUUGUCUUUGCUUUUGCAAAGACUGAUGUCUAGGAGCCUCCCCUGUGUCUUUUUCUAGGAGUUCUGUGGUUUUAUGUUUUAUGUUCAAGUCUUUAAUCCAUUUUGAGUUGAUAUUUGUGUAUGGUGUUAGAUAAUGGUCCAGUUUCAUUCUUUUGCAUGUGGCCAGUUUUCUCAUCACCACUUAUUUAAGACGCUAUUCUUUUCUCAUUGUAUAUUCUUGGUUCUUUUCACAUAAAUUAAUUCACCAUAUAUGCAUAAGUUUAUUUCUGGGGUGUCUAUUGGGUUCCAUAUUUCUCUGUUUCUAUUUUUAUGCCAAUACCAUACUGUUUUGAUGUUAUUGCUUUUUUAUAUAGUUUGAAAGCAGGGAAGUGUGAUGCCUCCAGCUUUGUUCUUAUUUCUCAAGGUUGGUUUGGCUAUUCAGGAUCUUUUGUGGUUUUAUACAGACUUCAGGAUGGUUUGUUCUAUUUCUGUGAAAAAUAUCUUUGGAAUUUUGAUAUUCUACUUUUUGGAUCUAGAAUUUCUAUUUUAUUCCUAAUAAAUGUAUGUUUCUUUGAUGAGCUUUUGCAUUGGAUCUUUGGGUACUAUGGGCAUUUUAGUAGUAUUAUUUCUUCCAGUCCAUGAGUAUGGAGUGUCUUUCCAUUUAUUUGUGUCUUCUUCAAUUUCUUUUCUUUAUUUUUUUAAAAAUGUUUAUUUAUUUUUGAGAGAGAGAGAGAGAGAGAGAGAGAGAGUGAGUAUGUGCCUGACUGGAGGAGUUGGGGGGAGAAAGAGAGAGGGAAAGGGAGACAGAGGAUCUGAAGCAGGCUCUGUGCUGACAGCAGAGAGCCUGAUGUGGUAUUCAAGCUCAUGAACUGUGAGAUCAUAACCUGAGCCAAAGUCAGACAUUUAACCAACUGAGCCACCCAGGCUUCCCCAAUUUCUUCUCUUGACCAAUGUUUAUAGUUGUUAUCCAUGAGAGGGUAGCAAUAAGAGCUGCUGCUUCACUACUAAAAGCUUGAGAUAUUUGUACUCUUGACCUAUCAGAUUAUGGAAACAUUCCUACCUGAGGAAUCUAUUUGUAGGAUUGACUUUCCAUAAAUCAUCUUUUCUAUGAUAUGUUUUUAUUGAGAUAUCAACUCCAUAACAUACCCAGUUUAUCAUAAUAGAAUAUUUGAUAUAAAGUGCAACCAUAUAAAUAUAAUAUAUUUUAUUUAACCAUAUUUUCCAUGUAUUUAUCUAAUAAAAAUAUUUACUGAAGGCAUAAUAUGUGCCAAGGCAUUGUGUUAUGUGAUGGGAAUAAAACAUAGAAUAAGACAGGCAUAGUCUCUUCCUAUUAGAGCUUACAUUUUAUUAAUUUCUCAUUUUUCUGAGAGAAGAGGAAAAUAGUGAGAAGUCUUGUCCAUACAAACUCUAGUGGGAUAAAAUAAAGCAAAAUGACCUCAAAGUAAUGGUCUUUUCAUAGGUCCUGGAAAACACCAAAAAUUGAAGUGUGGAUGAAUCUUGUUUGGGAACCCUCCUAGUGGAGAUUCUGAGCUCAUUGUCCCCUCAAUAAUGUAAUGAUUUUAUUUAGUAAUUACUUAACUUACUCAUCUGAAGUUGUAAGGUUGUUUCUGUGUGAAUUUUGUGUGCUCCCUUACUCCAUCUUAUGUAGGAUGUUUCCACUCGAGGACAAGCUCAACAUACCAGCCCAUUAAGCCCAAGUGAGAAUUCCAGGGCCAGCCAUCAUUGACUCACUGACUCUGAGUUUAAGGGAGACAUUUCCAAGAAUUUGGGAAUUAAGGUAGUAUAACUAAUUUAAUUUGAAACUGUAUUUUGGGGGUAAGGUGGAGUGUAAAGAUCAAGAUGCAAUGGACUAUGAUUGAAAAUGCCUGCUUGGGCUGUCAGGAGAUCUGAUUUCCCUCCUAAACUUGCUGAUCACAGACUAGUCACAUCCCCUUUAUGGAACGGAGUUUCCUCACACAUGAAAUGUGCAGACUGGACAGUUGAUAUUCCAGCUGAAAUCAAAUCUCCAUUAAAGAUCAAUGGGGUGCAUUUAUUCUGAGAAAGAAAUGUCUAAUUAAACAGAGAUAUCUACACUUUAAUAAGAGACAACUCCUCAUUGCUCCCCACCAUACACCCCUCCUUUAAUUCUUAAGCUCAAGUUAUGAAUUUCUAAUUGCAAAAAGGCCAAGCAGAUCUAGCACACACAGAUACGUGCUUGUGUGCAUGCAAGUGCGCGCGCGCGCGCACACACACACACACACACACACACACACACUGUUAAAUCUAAGUCCAAGGUCAACAUUGAAAAUAGACAUUUUUAAAUAGUGAAUUAAGUCUUCUCUAAAUUCUAACUUUAAACUAAAGGUAAAAUUCAGUGUGUAAAUUAUUCUAGCCAAGAAGCUGUGAUAUCCUAUACAUACGGCUGCUCUGUUAACUUUUCCCCAAGUUUAUUUAGUGCUGAGUAUUGUGCCUUGCAUGUCAGAGCUGGGACUAAUCCUGUCUGUGGUCUCUACUCCUAUGGGCAUUUCUGGUACUCUGAGACUAACACACAGGAUCUGUCAUGUGAGCCAGAGAAAAAAUUGUUGAAUCACACCAAUCUAAGAGACCAACAUACCAAUUGACUGGGAACAUUAACAAGGAGCAAACAGAAUGAGAGAGGGAAGGAGAAAAAGGCUGGCUUCUGGAGGCAGAGAAAAGAACUGUUGGAGACAGGUGAUGGCCACAAUGGUUUGAGUCAGUCCAUGGGGCUACUUAGAGAUGUCAUGGGAGGGGCCUCACUCUGAUGUUUAAUCUUCCUUCUAGGAUACAGCCCUACCAUAAACUGUUCAUAUCUAGAUCUGGGAUGCACUUAUUUGUUCCCGAAUAUCCAAUCUAAGUCCCCUUUCCAUUCUACUUAGUUAUUCCACAAAGUCUACUUCAAUGACAAUAGUCAAGUCAAACCUGCUUCAAGGAGUAGCUAGAAUUCCUAGAUCAGGUGGAGUCUCUCCUAUAGUCUUUGGAGAACCCCACCCUAGAAGGUUUCUUGAGCACUUCAUGGGUGUAAGACAGCAUGCUUCUUGGGGGUAGUAACUAUGUGCAUUUUAUUAUUUUUUAAUGUUUAUUUUUGAGAGAGAGAAAGAGAGAGAGAGAAAGAGAACUGGAGAUGGGCAGAAAAGACACAAAGAAUCUGAAGCAGGGUCCAGGCUCUGAGCUGUCAGCACAGAGCCUGACACGCAGCUCAAUCUCACAAACUGUGAGAUCAUGACCUGAGCUGAAGUCAGAUGCUUAACCGACUGAGCCACCCAGAGCCCCUAUAUGCCUUAUUUCUUUACCUGCCAGAGUGUCUGAUACACUCUUUAGAAACGUUGUAACACUAGGUUUCUACAAAAAUUGUUCUUUGACUUGUUAUUUUAGUGACAACUUAUCAGGCUUUUCUUUACUUAAAUGGCUAAAUGUGAAUACCUCAGGCUAAAGUAAAAGUCAGCCUUUUCAGUUCUGAUGGACUUCACCCCCUACUAAAGAGAUUCCUGUUCUGGGUCUCUCUGUUGGGAGCUCAGGCUGAGGUUCAUUGAGUCAGCAGAAAAGGAUACUUAAAGUGAUUAUAGCACAUUCUUCUUUGUGUGGUGGGAUUCAUCCAUUGUUGGUAAGGUGGAAGUCUCAUUUUUUUCAGUUUCUGACAUAACUAUAAUAACCAGGAAGUCCUUUCAGAAACAACGGUGCUGUCCACUUUGGUUAAACAAUUAGGUCAAUUAGAUUUUAGAAGGGCCAGGCUCAAACCUUUUUCAAAUAUCUUGGUAAAUAGAGAACGCUUUUCUGAGGGUUGGAUAGAUGAAGAACCAUGGAGAAUGAAUUUUAGUGUAAGCCUGGAUGUAGUCAUUGAAACAUGUAUAAAAGCCCAUCCUGCAUCCUGGCCUCAGAUGGAAGAGGACAGGAAGAUUUGAAAUACUUCCCUGGACUUCCUUAGAAAGCAGCACCAUGCCCUUCAGUUUCUGUGAAGGCUACCAUGGUGUGCCCUGGAACAAACCUCUACUUCCAUCUGCCACAGCUCACUAGACACUCAGUAAGUGAGGCAGAGGAAAUAGCUUAUUAUUUGAACAAGCCAGAGAAGUGGCUUCUAUGGAGGCUCACUAUGAAAACCAACCCAGUAGGCAAAGUGUCUUCAAAAUCAUUUCUUUUUUUUUUCAAUAUAUGAAGUUUAUUGUCAAAUUGGUUUCCAUACAACACCCAGUGCUCAUCCCAAAAGGUGCCCUCCUCAAUACCCAUCACCUCCUCUCCCUCCCACCCCCCAUCAACCCUCAGUUUGUUCUCAGUUUUUAUUCAAAAUCAUUUCUGCUUUCUGGGAAGAGUAAAUGACAGUGGAGCGAAGAGAAGGUGAUUCUUCCAAAUUCAGUCUAUGCCCCAAAUUCCAUGAAGUUGUUUCUGUUCUUCAGAUGAGGUGCCAGCUGAAUUCCAGUUUUUCAAAGACUGUGGCCAACAGUCACUCCAUGAUCCUGAUACUUCAGUGAAUUCCUGGCAAUGGACACCCAAUACUGAAGACACUCUGUCCCUGCCAUUCUCUGGUGAUUUCAAAGAUCCUAAGAGGGGUGACUGGGUGAUUCAGUUGGUUAAGUGUCCGACUUCAGCUCAGGUCAUAAUCUCAUGGUUUGUGAGUUCAAGCCCAGCAUCAGGCUCUGUGCUGACAGCUCAGAGCCUAGAGCCUUCUUCAGAUUCUGUGUCUCCCUCUCUCUGCCCAACCUCUUCCACCCUCCCUCCCACUUGUUCUCUGUCUCUCUUUGUCUGUCAAAAAUGAAUAAACAUUUAAAAAAAUCUUUAAAAAGAUGCUGAAAAAUAAAAGCAUUAUAGCAUAUUUAAAGUUGGAGAGGAAUAGUAAUAAUAAUCUUUGGGCUUUUUGGGUCAGCUACUUCAGCAAGGAAUCAUAUUUUGAAAUUAAAAACAAAAACAAACAAACAAACAAACAAAAAACAAACAAAAAGAACCUCAACAUCUCAGCUAUUGUUUGAGCUGUCUGUAAGCUUCAGAGGCUGGAAGCAAAGCAGCACCUUCAAGUCCUUCCCCUAAGGUCUGAGCUCCAGGUCUCCAAAGGUGGCCCUCUGCUAGAGAGAUAAAUAACACUGAAGUGAUCUGCAUCCAAUCUGGAGGAACCUUCCUUUUUUUCUGGAAUCUUAUCUCUGAGCCCUGAAUCUGCCCUCACAUGUGCCCACCUGGUGGUUCUGAUGAGACUUGUCUGAGUGUUGUCCUGUUUUUCUGUAGGCAUUGAUGAUGGAUUCAAGGUGAAAAGGAGUGUGUCCUCCUCUUCAGUUCCUAAAUCAACUAUAGACUUAACUGUGAAACUGGGCUUUUUACUUUCUCACCAUACUUUGAGAUAAAAGGGGCAUAGGUGUUCAGAAGUCAAGUAUCAUUUAUGUAUCUUCUAGAAUGUCAAGAUGUAAUAUCACUGGAUCAAGUUUUUCACAACAUUCCCCCACCCCCAAAUGGUCUGUUGCUGCUUAACUACAUUCUUAGAAAUGAAGAUGUCAAGUGAUGACACUGUGUAUAUCGCUAUCUGUCUCUCUGCAGCUGGUUUUCAACAAUAUGCUCUUUCAUUUGAAUGGAAUGUCAAGAUUCCUGAGCCAGACCAGGUUUACUUUGGAAAACAUGCUCUCCAGACAUAUUGAUGAGAGGAAGGCAUAUCAGAUUAUUGAAAAGGGAGAAGAUGAGUUGUGUGCUUAGUAUACAGGGUGGAAAUGCUUGGAUCAUCAUGGUCCAGACCUCUGGGUAACAAGGUAAUGCAGAAAGUGUUAGUGGCUUUUCUUCUCUGACUUUAAAUCACCCUCUACCCAAAUUGUUGGACUGCAUUUGGAAAGCUACAGAAGAAUGUCUAGAAAAUUACUUUUAUUUCUUAUAAAGGGUAAUAAAACAUAGGGGACAAAACAAUAAUGAUAAUAACAGUUUGGCUGCCAGAAGGGUAACAGCAAGACAUUAGAUUGUGGUUUCAAGUUUCGUGUUUCCUCUGUUGUGUUGUGCUGUAUGGGCGAUGUGGCUUUUCAAGGGCUACAUUUCCUGUGAUACCUAUUGGUGAUCAAGAAUUAUGGUGCUUGACUUCUGAUUCACAUAUUUGGAGGAGAAUUUGUAGCUUAUUAUGCAUUUUUAUUGUUGGUUAACUUCUAUUUGACACAGGUGGGCAAAAUUGAUUUGUAAAUGAAUUGCCAUCGAAUAACUUUCAAAAAUAUAUAUUACAAAAGGGUACAUAAAAGUAAAGUAAGAUAGAACAUCUUUGAAAUUGAGAUCAGUAAAAUAGUUAUUGAAUAUUCACUUCAUGUGUGGUCAUAUCAGAGAUGAUUUCUAAUUCCAUUUGCAAGAUGUUCAGCACAAUAGCCUUUAAAAGUAGAAAAGAAUUGAUGACUGUGAAAUGAUAUCCAGAAAGGGAAAAAUUAGGAAAAUAAAUUUUUUGGAAAUGUGUCUGCUUUGGCUUUAAUUCCAUUUAUAGUCACAUCUUGAAACCUAUGUAUUUGCUUUAUAGCAGAUGUACUUUCAUGGUCACACUAUCCCUUGUAAGUUUAAAGCAAUAAAAGUGAUUCAAUAAGAUUGUAUCCAUUCUUCAUCCUUAGGUGCCCUGCACCUUUAUAAUUUUGAGGAUAUUCAUUGGAAGUUCUCAACUCCUUGAUAUGAAGAGACAUCAUACACGGCCCAUGGGAUAGUGGAACGAUGACGAAAUUCAGUCUUUCUCAUAGUUUUGGUUUCUUCCUUUUCCUUUUCCUUUGCUUUUUUCUCUGGCUGUCCUUUCUCUCUGUAAUUGCUCCCCUCUUCAUUAUGCUUCAUUACCACCUCCACCCUCCUCCUUGAGUCACACACACAUACUCUUGAUCAGUUCUCCCUGUAGUGGACAAUUGCUAGGUUUUGUGGUUGUUGCUGCUGGUGUUAUUACUUCACUGCUACUGGCCAGCAUCUGCACUAUCUUUCUGUGGGAUGGGGUAUCAGCCAAUACAUGCAUCUUAGUGGGAGGCAGGGUGCUGCUUCCAUCUAUGUAUAAAACCCUGAAGGGGUCAGUCAUGAUCUCUUCAUACCCUUAGUGUGUCAAAUGUGGGCAAAACUUGGUCACCUAGAUGGCUCAUGUGGGACUCUGAAUAUGGAGGGAGAGGUUAAAAGAUACAGUGUCAGUUGGAAAUUACCCAUGAGACAGGGUCAUGAUGGGGCUGGUUCUGUGGAAGGGACUUAACUGUGUCCAUAGCCACCAGAUGAUUCUACUUCCUGCCUAUUUUAUAAGUUUAGUUCUUGGCCUUCCUGAUGAUUUGAUAGCUAGCUUCCAAUAAAUUCCUUUUUUUUAACUACAUGAACCAGAGUCCAUUUUAUUAUUAGCUAUCAAUAACUUUGAUGAGUGCAUAGUAAUCUAGGCAGCCUCCAUUUUUCUCCAUUUCUCAGUUCUCCAUAAAAAUAAUUUGGUAAAGUGUUGUUUAUUGU
Molecule: long non-coding RNA, 14990 nt
Filed under: Lynx pardinus (Iberian lynx)
Lineage: Eukaryota; Metazoa; Chordata; Mammalia; Carnivora; Felidae
Source: RNAcentral